CCUACGGGAGGCAGCAGUGGGGAAUAUUGGACAAUGGGCGAAAGCCUGAUCCAGCAAUUCCGCGUGUGUGAAGAAGGCCUUCGGGUUGUAAAGCACUUUAGUGGGGGAAGAAACAGCUUGGCCACACCAAGCCUUGACGGUACCCCAAGAAUAAGCACCGGCUAACUCUGUGCCAGCAGCCGCGGUAAUACAGAGGGUGCAAGCGUUAAUCGGAUUUACUGGGCGUAAAGGGUGCGUAGGUGGCUAUUUAAGUCGGAUGUGAAAGCCCGGGGCUCAACCUCGGAAUUGCAUUCGAUACUGAGUGGCUAGAGUUCGGUAGAGGGCGGCGGAAUUUCCGGUGUAGCGGUGAAAUGCGUAGAUAUCGGAAGGAACAUCAAUGGCGAAGGCAGCCGCCUGGGCCUGGACUGACACUGAGGCACGAAAGCGUGGGUAGCAAACAGGAUUAGAUACCCUGGUAGUCCACGCCGUAAACGAUGAGAACUUGACGUUGGUUCGUUUUACGAAUCGGUGUCGCAGCUAACGACGAUAAGUUACUUCCGUCCCGUCGGGGAGGGUACGGGACCGGCCGAACGGUUAGGUAAACGUAACAAAGUAAAGUAAGUAGGUACGGUCGUGAGACGUCGACCGACGGACCGACCGACGGAAGGGAGGGAGG
RNAcentral lists this ribosomal RNA (655 nucleotides) under uncultured bacterium. RNAcentral describes it as "bacterial SSU rRNA". The stretch from base 1 to 541 matches the Rfam family "Bacterial small subunit ribosomal RNA", at positions 338 to 873 of the family's 1533-position model. The record is from RNAcentral.